AAGCUACUAAAAAAUCUUUCUUAUAUUUUCAAAAUAUACGCUUUAAUUAAUAAGCUAAGUAGCUGU
This 66-nucleotide transfer RNA is filed under the name Psammotettix lividellus. RNAcentral describes it as "tRNA-Ser". Lineage: Eukaryota; Metazoa; Arthropoda; Insecta; Hemiptera; Cicadellidae. The record is from RNAcentral.